Tympanuchus pallidicinctus (lesser prairie-chicken) is the source of this 663-nucleotide long non-coding RNA. RefSeq lists it as uncharacterized. The record is from RefSeq and is a predicted model, not a curated record. The transcript is spliced from 3 exons. Lineage: Eukaryota; Metazoa; Chordata; Aves; Galliformes; Phasianidae.
AGGUUCAUUUAUCCAUAUACAAUGUGAAUUUCACUAUCAUAAACUCCUCCUACAUCACUUUAAAGCACGUGGUGCUUGUUGACAGCUUAUCAAGGAAAACAAGUGCCGGCAUUUAUGCAAGAGGACAAGUUUCCUCCUCUGUUUGGAGAAAAUAGAACUGAAUACUGAAACUGCAUUGAGCCAAUAGUAAGGUUAUUCUCAAAGCAGCAGCCAAGGAUUACUCCACAUGGUCAACAUUGAUGCAACUCAAUUUUACACACACAGCUGCCAGUCACGAGAGGAAAUAUCUGUUUUAGGAUAUGCCAAGUAUUAGAACAUCUAGGACCAUGGAGAGUGCUUCCACGAGCCCGGAGGGGCAUCCCUCCACUUCCUGUGCGCGGAGGAAUGUAUUUUACUAUUAGUAUUAAGUAUUUACAGGAAAUAAAAUCGGAUGUGUGGAUGUAUGUGGAUGUUUAUUCAUCUUCUUAAGCUGAAGACAAGACAGGUGAGUGUGCUAGUGAUUUAUGAGUGAAAUUUCCCUCAGGGAAAUGUUUUAUUUUUCCUGAGUUCUGCAUACACUUCAUCCCUAUUAUUCUUUGUCUGCAAUGAAGAAAUGGUUUACUUAAGAAUGGACGCACCAGUUUUUAUGGAUUUUUAAAAAUAAUAUCCAGAAAUAGGAAUGUA